This 468-nucleotide ribosomal RNA is filed under the name uncultured bacterium. RNAcentral's name for it is "partial 16S ribosomal RNA". It matches the Rfam family "Bacterial small subunit ribosomal RNA", at positions 28 to 507 of the family's 1533-position model. The record is from RNAcentral.
GACGAACGCUGGCGGCGUGCUUAACACAUGCAAGUCGAACGGAAAGGCCCUGCUUUUGUGAGGUGCUCGAGUGGCGAACGGGUGAGUAACACGUGAGUAACCUGCCCUUGACUUUGGGAUAACUUCAGGAAACUGGGGCUAAUACCGGAUAGGAGCUCCUGCUGCAUGGUGGGGGUUGGAAAGUUUCGGCGGUUGGGGAUGGACUCGCGGCUUAUCAGCUUGUUGGUGGGGUAGUGGCUUACCAAGGCUUUGACGGGUAGCCGGCCUGAGAGGGUGACCGGCCACAUUGGGACUGAGAUACGGCCCAGACCCCUACGGGAGGCAGCAGUGGGGAAUAUUGCACAAUGGGCGGAAGCCUGAUGCAGCAACGCCGCGUGCGGGAUGACGGCCUUCGGGUUGUAAACCGCUUUCGCCUGUGACGAAGCGUGAGUGACGGUAAUGGGUAAAGAAGCACCGGCUAACUACGUG